GUGCUCACUUUGGCAGGACACAUACUAAAAUUGUAAUGAUACAGAGAAGAUUAGCAUGGCCUCCGUGCAAGGAUGACACACAAAUUUGUGAAUCGCUUUAUAUUUUU
This 107-nucleotide small nuclear RNA is filed under the name Catagonus wagneri (Chacoan peccary). The record is from RNAcentral. Lineage: Eukaryota; Metazoa; Chordata; Mammalia; Artiodactyla; Tayassuidae.